GUAGGGAGCGAGCGUUGUCCGGAAUUACUGGGUGUAAAGGGAGCGUAGGCGGGAGCGCAAGUUAAAUGUUUAAACUAUCGGCUCAACUGAUAGUCGCGUUUAAAACUGCGUUUCUUGAGUGAAGUAGAGGCAGGCGGAAUUCCUAGUGUAGCGGUGAAGUGCGUAGAUAUUAGGAGGAACACCAGUGGCGAAGGCGGCCUGCUGGGCUUUAACUGACGCUGAGGCUCGAAAGCGUGGGGAGCAAACAGGAUUAGAUACCCUGGUAGUCCACGCUGUAAACGAUGAUUACUAGGUGUGGGGGGACUGACCCCUUCCGUGCCGGAGUUAACACAAUAAGU
Molecule: ribosomal RNA, 338 nt
Filed under: uncultured bacterium
Lineage: Bacteria
Description: bacterial SSU rRNA
Rfam family: Bacterial small subunit ribosomal RNA
Source: RNAcentral